AAUCUGGGGUCCCCCGACCCCCGAGUUGUAAUUUGGAGAGGCAUCUUCGGGGGGGAGCGCUGGCCCAUGUUCCUUGGAACAGGACGUCGCAGAGGGUGAGAAUCCCGUGCCAGGCCGGCUGCCUCCUCCCAGGUGGAGGGCCUUCGACGAGUCGAGUUGUUUGGGAAUGCAGCUCCAAGUGGGUGGUAAAUUUCAUCUAAAGCUAAAUACCGGCGGGAGACCGAUAGCGCACAAGUAGAGUGAUCGAAAGAUGAAAAGCACUUUGAAAAUAGAGUCAAAAAGUACGUGAAAUUGUUGAAAGGGAAGCGCUUGAGACCAGACUCAGACCCGAGCAAACAUCGCGCCCCUCGGGGCCGUGCAAUUGCCUGGGGCUGGGCCAGCAUCAGUUGGCGUGGCGGGACAAAGGCGCGGGGAAUGUGGCUCCCCUCGGGGAGUGUUAUUAGGCCCGCGCUCAAUGCCGCCGCCGCCGACUGAGGACCGCGCCUCGGCUAGGAUGCUGGCAUAAUGGCCUUCAGCGACCCGUCUUGAAACACGGA
RNAcentral lists this ribosomal RNA (536 nucleotides) under Helvella calycina. RNAcentral describes it as "eukaryotic LSU rRNA". It matches the Rfam family "Eukaryotic large subunit ribosomal RNA", at positions 119 to 665 of the family's 3401-position model. Lineage: Eukaryota; Fungi; Ascomycota; Pezizomycetes; Pezizales; Helvellaceae. The record is from RNAcentral.